GACGAACCGUGCGAACGUUGUUCGGAAUCACUGGGCUUAAAGGGCGCGUAGGCGGGCCGGCAAGUCGGGGGUGAAAUCCUCCAGCUCAACUGGAGAACUGCUUCCGAUACUGCCGGUCUCGAGUGGGGUAGGGGCGUGCGGAACGACGGGUGGAGCGGUGAAAUGCGUAGAGAUCAGGAAGAACACCGGUGGCGAAAGCGCUCUGCUAGGCCGCAACUGACACUGAGGGACGAAAGCGUGGGGAUCAAACAGG
This 253-nucleotide ribosomal RNA is filed under the name uncultured bacterium. Its description in RNAcentral is "partial 16S ribosomal RNA". It matches the Rfam family "Bacterial small subunit ribosomal RNA", at positions 524 to 776 of the family's 1533-position model. The record is from RNAcentral.